AUUACAACAGAUAUAAUCUACAUGUUCUUACUUUUAACCGGAUAACUGCGGUAAUUCUGGAGCCAAUACGUGCCUAAAGGGGUGUUCAGCAAUGAGCAUUCUGCACUUAUCGGAGCAAAACUAAUCUUGUUUUAUGCUAACUCUGGAUAACCAAGCUUAUCGCAGGUCUUCGGACGGCGAAGUAACAUUCGAGUAUCUGCCCUAUCAUCUAUCGUAGGUAGUGUAUUGGACUACCCAGGAGGUCACGGGUAACGGAGAAUCAGGGUUCGACUCCGGAGAGGGAGCCUUAGAAACGGCUACCAUUUCUAAGGAAAGCAGCAGGCGCGCAACUUAUCCACUGUCCACUAGGACGAGAUAGUGACGAGAAAUAACAAGUUCGUUCUCUUUGAGGUCGAACAUUGGAAUGGACCGAAUUUAAAAGAUUCGGUGAGUACCCACGAGAGGGCAAGUCUGGUGCCAGCAGCCGCGGUAAUUCCAGCUCUCGUAAUGUAUAGAAUUAUUGUUGCGGUUAAAAAGUUCGUAGUUGGAUUUCAUACCACUUGCAGGUAGUGUUUAACGAUGCUUACUUGCGGUGGUGUUUACAUCGAGUCGAGUUCACUUGGCUAGAUGUGGAUUACUUUGAACGGCUUAAGUGCUCAAGGCGAGUCUUCGGACUGAAUACCGGUGCAUGGAAUAAUGGAACAGGGUUUCGGCUGAGUUUUAUUGGUUUUGUCGGCAGAGACAAUGGUUAACAGGAACAGCUGGGGGCACUCGUAUCCCGGCGCGAGAGGUGAAAUUCGUGGACCGUCGGGAGACGCCCUAAAGCGAAAGC
RNAcentral lists this ribosomal RNA (811 nucleotides) under Aphelenchoides bicaudatus. RNAcentral describes it as "SSU rRNA". It matches the Rfam family "Eukaryotic small subunit ribosomal RNA", at positions 100 to 952 of the family's 1831-position model. Lineage: Eukaryota; Metazoa; Nematoda; Chromadorea; Rhabditida; Aphelenchoididae. The record is from RNAcentral.